This 292-nucleotide ribosomal RNA is filed under the name uncultured bacterium. Its description in RNAcentral is "partial 16S ribosomal RNA". It matches the Rfam family "Bacterial small subunit ribosomal RNA", at positions 338 to 621 of the family's 1533-position model. The record is from RNAcentral.
CCUACGGGGGGCAGCAGUAGGGAAUCUUCCACAAUGGACGAAAGUCUGAUGGAGCAACGCCGCGUGAGUGAAGAAGGGUUUCGUCUCGUAAAGCUCUUUUGGUAGUGAAGAAAGAUAGAGGUAGUAACUGGCCUUUAUUUGACGGUAAUUACUUAGAAAGUCACGGCUAACUACGUGCCAGCAGCCGCGGUAAUACGUAGGUGGCAAGCGUUGUCCGGAUUUAUUGGGCGUAAAGCGAGUGCAGGCGGUUCAAUAACUCUGAAGUGAAAACCCUCUGCCCAAACCGAGAAUU